AUGUCUCUGAGCUGCUGGUCCUGGUUCCUCGCCUUCGCCUGGGUUUGGUGUCUGCCACUGAUGCUCAUGGCGGCCGAGGAGCAGCAAGGGGAUGGCUGCUUGGCCAAGUGUGGCAGCGUCACCAUCUCCCCCCCGUUCUGGCUCACUGAUUGGCAAACAGGAAGAUUAUGUGGUUCGCCUGGACCGCUGGACUUCGAGCUUACAUGCUAUAACGGCAGUUAUCCACUUCUUCCAAGCUCUGUGCCCAACAACGCCGGCUUUGCAAUCAUGGACAUAUCCUAUGAGGAACGCAGCUUGCGCGUCGUUGAUCUACGCAAGCUGCAACUAUUACACGACCCGCCCAACAUCUUCAACAGCUGCUUGCCGAUGUGGAACACCUCUGCCAAACUGGGCCGCCCGUUUAAGAUCUCCCCCGUCAACCUGGAACUCAUCUUGUACAACUGCACGGAGAAGGCCGCCGCGGCGGCACGCCUGGAUAAAGAACUGGUGCAGGCGAAGACGAUGAGGUGCGUGAACACAAGCAACACGUUUGUUCAUGCGGGGGUGCCAUACGACACCACCGGGACCUACUCUAGUUAUGCUUUGGAGGGCUGCGUUCCAAUCGUCUUGCCGGUGCUGCGCUUGCCAUCCGGCGAGACGAACACGAGCCACUACGAGCGGCUCAUCCAAAGUGGCUUCCUCCUGAAAUGGGAACUGCCCCCUCCUCUCCCUGCACCUGCACCUAGGAAUGAACCACCUCCCCCUCCAGGUAGUGAGAGGAGAGCGAAGAAGAUUAUACUAAUAGGUAUAACAUCAGCAGCUGCAACCUUUCUCUUUGCAUGUCUUUAUGUGCUCAUAUGGCAUAGAAAUGGGAAAGGACUAUGGUUUUUCCUUUGCAAGACUAGCAGUAAAACUGAAAAAAAAUACGAGGCCAUGAUAGUGUCAUAUGGAUCCCUAGCUCCAAAAAGAUACAUGUACUCAGAGGUAAUGAAGAUAACGUCUUCUCGCAACAAUCAGCUUGGAAAAGGUGGUUACGGUGUGGUUUUCAAAGGAAAACUACAUGAUGGUCGUCUGGUUGCAGUGAAAUUCUUGCAUGACUGCAAAGGAAAUGGAGAUGAGUUUGUGAAUGAGGUUAUGAGCAUUGGCAGGACCUCUCAUGUUAAUGUUGUUAGCUUAUUUGGGUUUUGUUUGGAGGGAUCAAAACGAGCUCUUAUAUACGAGUACAUGCCCAAUGGUUCCUUGGAUAAGUACAUUUACUCAGGGAGCCCCAAAGAAAUUUUAGGAUGGGAGAGGCUCUAUGCGAUAGCAAUCGGGAUUGCUCGUGGCCUCGAAUACUUGCACUAUAGCUGUAAUACACGUAUCAUCCAUUUCGACAUCAAACCCCAAAAUAUACUUCUAGACAGGGAUUUUAGCCCAAAGAUUGCUGAUUUUGGUCUAGCUAAAUUGUGUCAUACAAAGGAGAGCAAGCUUUCAAUUACAGGAGCUAGAGGAACAAUUGGAUUCAUUGCACCAGAAGUUCACUCUCGAACCUUCGGGGUGGUUUCAACAAAGUCAGAUGUUUAUAGUUAUGGAAUGAUGCUGCUAGAGAUGGUUGGAGGGAGGAGAAAUGUAAGAUUAAUUGCUGCAAAAUCCAGUGAAAAGUAUUUCCCUGAUUGGAUCUAUGACCACUUUGCGCAAGAUGAUGGAUUAGAAGCAUGUGAAGUCACCAAUGAAAUAGAGGAGAUUGCGAGAAAGAUGAUCUUAAUUGGCUUGUGGUGUAUACAAGUAAUACCCUUGCAUCGUCCUACUAUAACAAAGGUUUUAGAAAUGUUUGAGAGAAGCUUAGAUGAUUUGGAUAUGCCGCCGAAGCAGAACUUCUGUGAACUACUUGAAAGUUCAGCUCACAAUAUGGAUGUACAAAGUGGAAGUUCUACAAGAUCGGAGGAGACAAGCCUCGCGAAUUCCAAAAUCCUGCAACAACUGUGA
RNAcentral lists this ribosomal RNA (1944 nucleotides) under Triticum aestivum (bread wheat). RNAcentral's name for it is "partial small subunit ribosomal RNA". The record is from RNAcentral. Lineage: Eukaryota; Viridiplantae; Streptophyta; Magnoliopsida; Poales; Poaceae.